AAUUCCUCUAAACCCUGUUUGUCCCUAUCCUGGGCAGAGCCGAGACCGGUGUCUUGAAGCCUGGCACCGUCAUAACAUUUGCACCUGCCCUGAUAUCCACUGAGGUGAAGUCUGUAAAUAUGCAUCACGAGUCACUUCCAGAAGCUAUGCCAGGAGACAACGUUGGUUUUAACGUUAAGAAUGUAUCAGUAAAGGAGCUUCGUUUAGGGAAAGAGUGCAGAU
Octopus sinensis (East Asian common octopus) is the source of this 222-nucleotide long non-coding RNA. RefSeq lists it as uncharacterized. The transcript is spliced from 3 exons. Lineage: Eukaryota; Metazoa; Mollusca; Cephalopoda; Octopoda; Octopodidae. The record is from RefSeq and is a predicted model, not a curated record.